RNAcentral lists this ribosomal RNA (253 nucleotides) under uncultured bacterium. Its description in RNAcentral is "partial 16S ribosomal RNA". It matches the Rfam family "Bacterial small subunit ribosomal RNA", at positions 524 to 776 of the family's 1533-position model. The record is from RNAcentral.
UACGUAGGGUGCGAGCGUUGUCCGGAAUUAUUGGGCGUAAAGCGUGCGCAGGCGGUUUUGUAAGCCAGAUGUGAAAGCCCCGGGCUCAACCUGGGAAUGGCAUUUGGGACUGCAAGGCUGGAGUGUGGCAGAGGAGACUGGAAUUCCUGGUGUAGCAGUGAAAUGCGUAGAUAUCAGGAGGAAUACCGAUGGCGAAGGCAGGUCUCUGGGCUAACACUGACGCUCAUGCACGAAAGCGUGGGGAGCAAACAGG